RNAcentral lists this ribosomal RNA (459 nucleotides) under uncultured bacterium. RNAcentral's name for it is "partial 16S ribosomal RNA". It matches the Rfam family "Bacterial small subunit ribosomal RNA", at positions 28 to 523 of the family's 1533-position model. The record is from RNAcentral.
GAUGAACGCUGGCGGCGUGCCUAAUACAUGCAAGUCGAGCGGUAAGGCCUCUUCGGAGGUACACGAGCGGCGGACGGCUGAGUAACGCGUAGGAACAUACCCCAAAGUGAGGGAUAACUGCUCGAAAGAGUAGCUAAUGCCGCAUGUGAUCUAAGGAUUAAAGCUUCGGCGCUUUGGGAAUGGCCUGCGUAUGAUUAGUUUGUUGGUGAGGUAAUGGCUCACCAAGACUACGAUCAUUAGCUGGUCUGAGAGGAUGAUCAGCCAGACUGGGACUGAGACACGGCCCAGACUCCUACGGGAGGCAGCAGUAGGGAAUCUUCCACAAUGGGCGAAAACCUGAUGGAGCAACGCCGCGUGCAGGAUGAAGGCCUUCGGGUUGUAAACUGCUUUUAUAUGCGAAGAUUAUGACGGUAGCAUAUGAAUAAGGAUCGGCUAACUCCGUGCCAGCAGCCGCAGUAA